AUGUUGGAAGUAUGAAGUACAGUUGCCUUCCAAGCAAAAAGCCCAAACAUGGCCAACAUA
This 60-nucleotide transfer RNA is filed under the name Uniomerus tetralasmus. RNAcentral describes it as "tRNA-Gly". The record is from RNAcentral. Lineage: Eukaryota; Metazoa; Mollusca; Bivalvia; Unionida; Unionidae.